Molecule: ribosomal RNA, 207 nt
Filed under: uncultured bacterium
Lineage: Bacteria
Description: partial 16S ribosomal RNA
Rfam family: Bacterial small subunit ribosomal RNA
Source: RNAcentral
UGCGUAGGUGGUGAGGUAAGUCGGAUGUGAAAUCUCCGAGCUCAACUCGGAAACUGCAUUGGAAACUACCUUGCUCGAGGGUUGGAGGGGGGACUGGAAUGCUUGGUGUAGCAGUGAAAUGCGUAGAUAUCGAGAGGAACACCUGCGGCGAAGGCGGGUUGCUGGGCUGACACUGACGCUGAACUGCGAAAGCUAGGGGAGCGAACG